This 254-nucleotide ribosomal RNA is filed under the name uncultured bacterium. RNAcentral's name for it is "partial 16S ribosomal RNA". It matches the Rfam family "Bacterial small subunit ribosomal RNA", at positions 524 to 776 of the family's 1533-position model. The record is from RNAcentral.
UACGUAGGGUGCAAGCGUUAAUCGGAAUUACUGGGCGUAAAGCGUGCGCAGGCGGUUCGCUAAGACAGAUGUGAAAUCCCCGGGCUUAACCUGGGAACUGCAUUUGUGACUGGCGGGCUAGAGUAUGGCAGAGGGGGGGUAGAAUUCCACGUGUAGCAGUGAAAUGCGUAGAGAUGUGGAGGAAUACCGAUGGCGAAGGCAGCCCCCUGGGCCAAUACUGACGCUCAUGCACGAAAGCGUGGGGAGCAAACAGG